CUCCAAAAUGCCAAUACAUCAAAUCUGUUUCCCAUCGCCGUCGUCAUUCCACGUAUGGUGGUGAUUUCAUUAUUUUUACAUUUGGGGACAAUAAGCGUGUCCAUACACCCCAGCAACUAGGAAAUCAACACACCACCAUAUGCCUGAACUGAGACCAUUUGUCACGGUUUACGUUCCUUCCAAAGACUGCAGAACAGAGCUUGACUUGAAGAAGCACCAACGUGGGAACAGUUACUUGAAAUGUCAGAUGGAAAGCACAUUAGCAAAUGGGGUGUGUGCAUGCACCCCGGAGAAGGAAAGGACUCAACCCUCCAUUAGGCUUCCUGCUGCCACCCUCUGAUCAACAAUGCCCCAGCUACCAUUUUUCAGACAAAUCCUCCCGUCACUAGAUAUUUAAUUCUAGAAGGCCAAAGUGGGAAGAGACAGAAAAGAUCAGGGAAAAAGAAAAGAUGCUGGGUCAAACAUGUCAGAGCUGAAAGAACCUUGGAAGGUGACUCAUUAAUUCUAGCAUAUGCAGAUGAGCAAGUGGGGACUGGUGUCCCUAGGGAGAAUGACUGGGUUUGAGAUGGAACCCUUGGUUGCUUCUCAUGGGCCUCCUUGAUUGUAAGCCUGUCUGCUGCAUCCCCAGCCUUCUGUACCCACUUGAAGCAUGUCAGCCUCUUCCCUACUGUGAGUGGCAGCAGUUUGUUUCUACAGGGAUGCAAUUUUUGCUCUCCAAUGGAUGUAAACUAUCUUUCUUUUUUUCCAAUGAGAAACAAAGUCAUCCCCGGAGGAUGGAGAAUUCGUGAUGUGUUUAGUUCUUUACUAGGUACUGCGGGGGGUUGAAACAGUCUUUUGCUUGAAGUACUUAAGAUCCAGCCAG
This 862-nucleotide long non-coding RNA is filed under the name Marmota monax (woodchuck). The record is from RNAcentral. Lineage: Eukaryota; Metazoa; Chordata; Mammalia; Rodentia; Sciuridae.